GUAGGUGAACCUGCGGAAGGAUCAAUAUGGAGGGAGAGAGUGAAAUUUGUUGAAAGAACAGUGAACAAUCAUUAACUUAACACACACACACACACAACUCAUAACAAUGGAUCUCUGGGCUCUU
Molecule: unclassified non-coding RNA, 124 nt
Filed under: rhizosphere metagenome
Description: partial ribosomal RNA internal transcribed spacer region
Source: RNAcentral